Bos taurus (domestic cattle) is the source of this 73-nucleotide non-coding RNA. The record is from Rfam. NCBI's taxonomy places the organism in Eukaryota, Metazoa, Chordata, Mammalia, Artiodactyla, Bovidae.
UCAUUGGUGGUCUAGUGGUUAAGACUCUGAGUUUCCAAUGCAGAGGGCCUGGGUUCAAUCCCUGGUUAGGGAA